UCAGUCGACUCCUACGGGGAGGCAGCAGUGGGAAUAUUGCACAAUGGGGGAAACCCUGAUGCAGCCAUGCCGCGUGUGUGAAGAAGGCCUUCUGGUUGUAAAGCACUUUCAGUAGGGAGGAAGGUAGUGUAGUUAACACCUGCAUUAUUUGACGUUACCUACAGAAGAAGCACCGGCUAACUCCGUGCCAGCAGCCGCGGUAAUACGGAGGGUGCGAGCGUUAAUCGGAAUUACUGGGCGUAAAGCGCAUGCAGGCGGCCUGUUAAGUCAGAUGUGAAAGCCCGGGGCUUAACCUCGGAAUUGCAUUUGAAACUGGCAGGCUAGAGUCUUGUAGAGGGGGGUAGGAAUUUCAGGUGUAGCGGUGAAAUGCGUAGAGAUCUGAAGGAAUACCAGUGGCGAAGGCGGCCCCCUGGACAAAGACUGACGCUCAGAUGCGAAAGCGUGGGGAGCAAACAGGAUUAGAUACCCUGGUAG
Molecule: ribosomal RNA, 474 nt
Filed under: uncultured bacterium
Lineage: Bacteria
Description: bacterial SSU rRNA
Rfam family: Bacterial small subunit ribosomal RNA
Source: RNAcentral